UUCUUUCAUCAUCCUCAUCUGCCCUCCCUAAAUUCAAUCAUCCUCAUCAUUCAAUCCCCAGAUCUGCGACUCACGCAAAUGUUUGAGUUCAAUUUUGAUUAACUCGAGUAGUAAUGGCGUGGUAUAUUGACCGAGGAUGGAUGUAUGAAAAGACCGAUAGUAAUGGAUUUCUUAAUUCUGAAUACUGUGACAAUGUGGAAUUGUUUUUGGACUUCGCAUUUUCUAAAGAAGAAGUGGUUGAUACAAGGGUGAAU
Molecule: long non-coding RNA, 254 nt
Filed under: Helianthus annuus (common sunflower)
Lineage: Eukaryota; Viridiplantae; Streptophyta; Magnoliopsida; Asterales; Asteraceae
Description: hypothetical non coding rna
Source: RNAcentral